Molecule: long non-coding RNA, 390 nt
Filed under: Gossypium barbadense (sea-island cotton)
Lineage: Eukaryota; Viridiplantae; Streptophyta; Magnoliopsida; Malvales; Malvaceae
Description: long non-coding RNA (GBAR_LNC018807)
Source: RNAcentral
AGCAUAUGUUUUUUUGGACAAAUAUUUUUAUAAAUUGGUCAAUCAAUGAAUUAGCACCACCUAAUGAUCAUUAUGCAAGACAAACGUGCAUGCAAUUUUGGAACCAACCAUUAUACGUGCAGCCAUGUAUAUGCAGCUUUCUCCCACUAGAAAAACCUGAAACAAAGCAAUGAACAGACACUAAAUCCAUCAGACAUGGCAAUCUCAAUGACCAAAAAGAAGUCUAAACCAUCCAAAAAGUUAGAAACAAAACACCAUCAGUUUUCUGAUACGCUUUUGUUCAAAAUUCUAAACCGUAUCCCUCUUGCAAUCUUUCUAUUAAUCCUUAUUUUCCUUUGGUCAUCUUCCACCACCAUCAUCUCCGGUAAAUUCGUUCACGUAUGCGUGUCG